This 555-nucleotide ribosomal RNA is filed under the name Citrobacter freundii. RNAcentral's name for it is "partial 23S ribosomal RNA". It matches the Rfam family "Bacterial large subunit ribosomal RNA", at positions 2261 to 2815 of the family's 2925-position model. Lineage: Bacteria; Pseudomonadati; Pseudomonadota; Gammaproteobacteria; Enterobacterales; Enterobacteriaceae. The record is from RNAcentral.
GUGGGUAGUUUGACUGGGGCGGUCUCCUCCUAAAGAGUAACGGAGGAGCACGAAGGUUAGCUAAUCCUGGUCGGACAUCAGGAGGUUAGUGCAAAGGCAUAAGCUAGCUUGACUGCGAGAGUGACGGCUCGAGCAGGUGCGAAAGCAGGUCUUAGUGAUCCGGUGGUUCUGAAUGGAAGGGCCAUCGCUCAACGGAUAAAAGGUACUCCGGGGAUAACAGGCUGAUACCGCCCAAGAGUUCAUAUCGACGGCGGUGUUUGGCACCUCGAUGUCGGCUCAUCACAUCCUGGGGCUGAAGUAGGUCCCAAGGGUAUGGCUGUUCGCCAUUUAAAGUGGUACGCGAGCUGGGUUUAGAACGUCGUGAGACAGUUCGGUCCCUAUCUGCCGUGGGCGCUGGAGAAUUGAGGGGGGCUGCUCCUAGUACGAGAGGACCGGAGUGGACGCAUCACUGGUGUUCGGGUUGUCAUGCCAAUGGCAUUGCCCGGUAGCUAAAUGCGGAAGAGAUAAGUGCUGAAAGCAUCUAAGCACGAAACUUGCCCCGAGAUGAGUUCUCCC